UGUGGUUUCACACUUUUUUAUUUUAGUACCCUGUGGUUUAAAGUGUAUCAAGUUAGUACCCUGUGGUUUUUCACUUUAUCACUUUAGUACCUUAUGGUCUAAAGUGUAUCAAGUUAGUACCCUGUGGUUUCACACUUUAUCACUUUAGUAUCCUGUGAUUUAAAAAACCACAGGAUACUAACUUGAUGCAAAAUUAAAAUCAUAGGGUACUAAAGUGAUAAAGUGCAAAACCACAGGGUACUAACUUGAUACACUUUAAACCACAGGGUAUUAAAGCGAUAAAGUGAGAAACCACAGGGUACUAACUUGAUACAUUUUAAAUCACAGGGUACUAAAGUGAAAAAAAUUGAAACCACAAGAGGGGUUUUUGAAGUUUUUUCUAAAAUCAACGCAAGGAAGGUU
RNAcentral lists this long non-coding RNA (402 nucleotides) under Ananas comosus (pineapple). RNAcentral describes it as "long non-coding RNA (ACOM_LNC021560)". Lineage: Eukaryota; Viridiplantae; Streptophyta; Magnoliopsida; Poales; Bromeliaceae. The record is from RNAcentral.